CUGGUAGUGUGAACUAUGUGUAGAUUGCUUAUCAUUUAAAAUGCCUUAGUUGCUUUUUCAUUCAUACAAGAAGAGAUGUAGAUUGGCUAUUGCAUGUUAGCCAAUCAGAAUGCUUAGUAAUUAUAACUCCGCCUAAUGCAUGCUUUAUAGUGUAAGAACUCGCCUACUGUCUUUCAGUAGCUGCAGUAGAGUGAACUUAUGAUGUACUGCCUAGAUGAUGAUGA
Long non-coding RNA from Amblyraja radiata (thorny skate), 224 nucleotides. RefSeq lists it as uncharacterized. The transcript has 3 exons. NCBI's taxonomy places the organism in Eukaryota, Metazoa, Chordata, Chondrichthyes, Rajiformes, Rajidae. The record is from RefSeq and is a predicted model, not a curated record.